AAGCUGAACGGGUACAGGAUGUGCUUGCACAUCGCUGACGAGUGGCGGACGGGUGAGUAAUGCUUAGGGAUCUGCCUCUGUGUGGGGGAUAACUAUUGGAAACGAUAGCUAAUACCGCAUAAUGUUUACGAACCAAAGGGGGCGUUUGCUCCCGCGCAGAGAGGAACCUAAGUGAGAUUAGCUAGUUGGUAAGGUAAUGGCUUACCAAGGCGACGAUCUCUAGCUGUUCUGAGAGGAAGAUCAGCCACACUGGGACUGAGACACGGCCCAGACUCCUACGGGAGGCAGCAGUGGGGAAUAUUGCACAAUGGGGGGAACCCUGAUGCAGCCAUGCCGCGUGUGUGAAGAAGGCCUUCGGGUUGUAAAGCACUUUCAGUUGUGAGGAAAGGUUAGUAGUUAAUACCUGCUAGCUGUGACGUUAGCAACAGAAGAAGCACCGGCUAACUCCGUGCCAGCAGCCGCGGUAAUACGGAGGGUGCGAGCGUUAAUCGGAAUUACUGGGCGUAAAGCGCGCGUAGGUGGUUUUGUCAGUCAGAUGUGAAAGCCCAGGGCUCAACCUUGGAACUGCACCUGAUACUGCAAGACUAGAGUACAAUAGAGGGGAGUGGAAUUCCGGCGUAGCGGUGAAAUGCGUAGAGAUCGGAAGGAACACCAGUGGGCGAAGGCGACUUCCUGGGAUUGAUACUGGCCACUGAGGUGCGAAGCGUGGGGAGCAACGGAUGAUACCUGUAGUCACGCCGAAAGAUU
This 747-nucleotide ribosomal RNA is filed under the name uncultured Alteromonas sp. RNAcentral's name for it is "bacterial SSU rRNA". It matches the Rfam family "Bacterial small subunit ribosomal RNA", at positions 59 to 809 of the family's 1533-position model. The record is from RNAcentral. Lineage: Bacteria; Pseudomonadati; Pseudomonadota; Gammaproteobacteria; Alteromonadales; Alteromonadaceae.